This 548-nucleotide ribosomal RNA is filed under the name uncultured Glomeromycotina. RNAcentral describes it as "SSU rRNA". It matches the Rfam family "Eukaryotic small subunit ribosomal RNA", at positions 548 to 1098 of the family's 1831-position model. The record is from RNAcentral. Lineage: Eukaryota; Fungi; Glomeromycota.
UUGGAGGGCAAGUCUGGUGCCAGCAGCCGCGGUAAUUCCAGCUCCAAUAGCGUAUAUUAAAGUUGCUGCAGUUAAAAAGCUCGUAGUUGAAUUUCGGGACCAUCAUGUCGGUCGUGCCUCGGUACGUACUGGCAUCGUUGGUUUCUCCCUUCUGACGAACCACGAUGUCAUUUAUUUGGUGUUGUGGGGAAUCAGGACUGUUACUUUGAAAAAAUUAGAGUGUUUAAAGCAGGCUCACGCUUGAAUACAUUAGCAUGGAAUAAUGAAAUAGGACGUUUGAUUCUAUUUUGUUGGUUUCUAGGAUCGACGUAAUGAUUAAUAGGGAUAGUUGGGGGCAUUAGUAUUCAAUUGUCAGAGGUGAAAUUCUUGGAUUUAUUGAAGACUAACUACUGCGAAAGCAUUUGCCAAGGAUGUUUUCAUUAAUCAAGAACGAAAGUUAGGGGAUCGAAGACGAUCAGAUACCGUCGUAGUCUUAACCAUAAACUAUGCCGACUAGGGAUCGGAUGAUGUUAAUUUUUUAAUGACUCAUUCGGCGCCUUACGGGAAAC